This 294-nucleotide ribosomal RNA is filed under the name uncultured bacterium. Its description in RNAcentral is "partial 16S ribosomal RNA". It matches the Rfam family "Bacterial small subunit ribosomal RNA", at positions 207 to 493 of the family's 1533-position model. The record is from RNAcentral.
ACAAGCUUUCGCCUUAAGAUGAGCCCAUGGCCCAUCAGCUAGUUGGUAGGGUAAAGGCCUACCAAGGCUACGACGGGUCGCUGGUCUGAGAGGACGACCAGCCACACUGGCACUGAGAUACGGGCCAGACUCCUACGGGAGGCAGCAGUGAGGAAUAUUGCGCAAUGGGGGAAACCCUGACGCAGCAACGCCGCGUGUGGGAAGAAGGCCUUCGGGUCGUAAACCACUUUUGCACGGGACGAAAAAGGGAUAUCGAACAAAUAUCCCCGAUGACGGUACCGUGAGAAUAAGCCA